This is a long non-coding RNA of Agrilus planipennis (emerald ash borer), 1193 nucleotides long. RefSeq lists it as uncharacterized. The transcript is spliced from 4 exons. The record is from RefSeq and is a predicted model, not a curated record. NCBI's taxonomy places the organism in Eukaryota, Metazoa, Arthropoda, Insecta, Coleoptera, Buprestidae.
CUAAUGCGGCCGCUUUUGUCAAUUCUUUCAAAUCGUUCAUAAUUAUUAAUUAUUUGGCAAACCGUUCCAAAUCCUUUAAUUGCGAGAGUGAGAAUUUACGGGCCUUUGAUAAUUUAAAACAAUUCCUCUCCGGCAAAGUCACCACCACAACAAGUGACAUUCCCGAACACAGACCAACCGAUACUACGUUAUUGCGUAGGGGCACACUAAAGUAUGUGGCUGGUUUUGUUGCUGAAACAGUGCUCUCCAAGGUGACAAGGUGUAAGCAAUGCAGACUAGAUCUUUUGGGAGACGAUAGGACUGCGAAGGAUUAUUUUGUAAUUCAAGCGAGGGCUUACUCCCCUAAUGCCCUGCUGUCUCCUUCGACAACCUUCAACUGUUUCUUCCAAAUAGCAAUUUUUCUACUUCGUCACAUAUUACCUCAAAUUUGUGCCGAUAUAAAUAUUACUGGAGAGAUGGAGGUAGUGCCGAAGCACACAAUGCAGCACGACAAUCGCUUCCACUGCACCCAACAUGAUCUAAGCCUGCUGCUGGUGCAGUAUAUUUGGAAAUUCCACUUGUUCACGUGGAUUCAAAAUAUCAACAGGGUACUGCAAGACAAGAAAAAGGUGGGAACAUCUCUGGAUCCCAUGAAGCAAUACGCGGCGAGCAAGUACGCACAACACCAAAAGUUUCUACGUAGGAAGUAGAUAACUGCUUUCACAGUUACAGACCAUCGCUGUCUGCCUACGAGCCUCUCCUUCUAUUGUAUUGCCACAGAUUCCGGUUUCACAGUCACCGAUCAUUAAGUGCCCCAGCUAUACAUUCCGGCAAGUGUCACUGAAGAGCUUGACCAACGUUCAAUUUUUAUGCAUACUUUUUGUCGACAGUAUAUUCGCUACCCCCAAGACCACCGAGACAUAGUAAUACUGCUACAGAAGAAAAAGAGAAAAAGACCAUCUACAGCAGUCGACCUUCGCAUCUCAUACUAUCAUCACGUUCGUGACACUAUUCAAUUCAAAUUAACCCCAAAAGGAUAAAGAAGCUGGCAAGGAACUCAAAGAGUUGAAGACAUCUCCACCUCUGUGUCUUGUGAUCGUGUAAAGACGAGAACGUGUUUUGUCUUAAGGGAGGAUAAGUUACUGUUGGAGGUUAGAUUAGCAAAAACUAAUGUAAAACUAAUUACGCACUCAUUAACAAAAUCGAAAAUUAGA